CCUACCCCCAGAGCUUUGUUGGGUAUCCUCAGGAUUUGGUGUUGUUGAUGACCCAGGAGGCAUAAUGGGUCACCAUUUGUAUUCUGGGCCACCCUAAUGGAUGACACCCAGCUUCAGAAACCUCCUCUUGGACAGCGUCCCUGUCAGCCAGUAUGUUAUCCAUCCCAUUGUCUGGAGGUGGCCUCCCACUCAUUUUGAGUGACCUCACUGUAAAACCACAUAGACUCGUUCUUGGCUGUCUAUCUGACCCACCUGUCCUCAAGUGGACCAUAACUGAGGCAGCAGGGAGUUCAUCUGGGACUGAAACUCCACGUUAAGCUGUCACAAGAGAGAAUGGCAUGCAGGAAACUUCUUUGGCUUAGAAAGGCUGACGAUAAUUCAUGUGUCAGCUGUACCACGUGGCUCUUUUUAGUCCAAGGAGCACUUUCACAUACAACAUUUUCUCUUAUUAAUU
Long non-coding RNA from Acomys russatus (golden spiny mouse), 454 nucleotides. RefSeq lists it as uncharacterized. Lineage: Eukaryota; Metazoa; Chordata; Mammalia; Rodentia; Muridae. The record is from RefSeq and is a predicted model, not a curated record. The transcript has 3 exons.